Non-coding RNA from Ailuropoda melanoleuca (giant panda), 45 nucleotides. Lineage: Eukaryota; Metazoa; Chordata; Mammalia; Carnivora; Ursidae. The record is from Rfam.
CCAAAGGCUCUUUUAAGAGCCACUCACGUACUAGAAAAAUGGCGU